AACGAACGCUGGCGGCAUGCCUAACACAUGCAAGUCGAACGAGACCUUCGGGUCUAGUGGCGCACGGGUGCGUACGCGUGGGAACCUGCCCUUAGGUUCGGAAUGACUCCCCGAAAGGGGUGCUAAUACCGGAUAAUGUCUUCGGACCAAAGAUUUAUCGCCUUUGGAUGGGCCCGCGUUGGAUUAGCUAGUUGGUAGGGUAAAAGCCUACCAAGGCGACGAUCCAUAGCUGGUCUGAGAGGAUGAUCAGCCACACUGGGACUGAGACACGGCCCAGACUCCUACGGGAGGCAGCAGUGGGGAAUAUUGGACAAUGGGCGAAAGCCUGAUCCAGCAAUGCCGCGUGAGUGAUGAAGGCCUUAGGGUUGUAAAGCUCUUUUACCCGGGAUGAUAAUGACAGUACCGGGAGAAUAAGCUCCGGCUAACUCCGUG
This 432-nucleotide ribosomal RNA is filed under the name uncultured bacterium. RNAcentral's name for it is "partial 16S ribosomal RNA". It matches the Rfam family "Bacterial small subunit ribosomal RNA", at positions 29 to 507 of the family's 1533-position model. The record is from RNAcentral.